Molecule: ribosomal RNA, 447 nt
Filed under: uncultured bacterium
Lineage: Bacteria
Description: bacterial SSU rRNA
Rfam family: Bacterial small subunit ribosomal RNA
Source: RNAcentral
GACCAGACUCCUACGGGAGGCAGCAGUGGGGGAUAUUGCACAAUGGGGGGAACCCUGAUGCAGCGACGCCGCGUGGGUGAAGGAGUGCUUCGGCAUGUAAAGCCCUAUCGGCAGGGAAGAAGCAAGACGGUACCUGACUAGGAAGCCCCGGCUAACUACGUGCCAGCAGCCGCGGUAAUACGUAGGGGGCGAGCGUUAUCCGGAUUCACUGGGUGUAAAGGGAGCGUAGACGGCCAGGCAAGCCAGGGGUGAAAGCCCGGGGCCCAACCCCGGGACUGCCCUUGGAACUGCAUGGCUGGAGUGCGGGAGGGGCAGGCGGAAUUCCUGGUGUAGCGGUGAAAUGCGUAGAUAUCAGGAGGAACACCGGCGGCGAAGGCGGCCUGCUGGACAUUAACUGACGCUGAGGCACGAAGGCCAGGGGAGCGAAAGGGAUUAGAUACCCGCGUA